AGCGAACGCUGGCGGCAGGCUUAACACAUGCAAGUCGAGCGGGUGUAGCAAUACACCAGCGCCAGACGGGUGAGUAACGAGUGGGAACGUACCUUUUAGUUCGGCACAACCAAGGGAAACUUGGGCUAAUACGGGAUAAGCCCUUACGGGGACAGAUUUAUCGCCGAAAGAUCGGGCCGCGUGUGAUUAGCUAGUUGGUGAGGUAAUGGCUCACCAAGGCGACGAUCAGUAGCUGGUCUGAGAGGAUGAUCAGCCACAUUGGGACUGAGACACGCCCCAAACUCCUACGGGAGGCAGCAGUGGGGAAUAUUGGACAAUGGGGGCAGCCCUGAUCCAACCAUGCCGCGUGAUUUAUGAAGGCCCUAGGGUUGUAAAGCUCUUUUGUGCGGGAAGAUAAUGACGGUACCGCAAGAAUAAGCCCCGGCUAACUUCGUGCCAGCCGCCGCAGUAA
RNAcentral lists this ribosomal RNA (451 nucleotides) under uncultured bacterium. RNAcentral's name for it is "partial 16S ribosomal RNA". It matches the Rfam family "Bacterial small subunit ribosomal RNA", at positions 29 to 523 of the family's 1533-position model. The record is from RNAcentral.